UUAAGUUAUUAAGGGCGCACGGUGGAUGCCUUGGCACUAGAAGCCGAUGAAGGACGUUACUAACGACGAUAUGCUUUGGGGAGCUGUAAGUAAGCUUUGAUCCAGAGAUUUCCAAAUGGGGAAACCCAGCAUGAGUUAUGUCAUGUUAUCGAUAUGUGAAUACAUAGCAUAUCAGAAGGCACACCCGGAGAACUGAAACAUCUUAGUACCCGGAGGAAGAGAAAGAAAAUUCGAUUCCCUUAGUAGCGGCGAGCGAAACGGGAAGAGCCCAAACCAACAAGCUUGCUUGUUGGGGUUGUAGGACACUCUAUACGGAGUUACAAAGGACGACAUUAGACGAAUCAUCUGGAAAGAUGAAUCAAAGAAGGUAAUAAUCCUGUAGUCGAAAAUGUUGUCUCUCUUGAGUGGAUCCUGAGUACGACGGAGCACGUGAAAUUCCGUCGGAAUCUGGGAGGACCAUCUCCUAAGGCUAAAUACUCUCUAGUGACCGAUAGUGAACCAGUACCGUGAGGGAAAGGUGAAAAGCACCCCGGAAGGGGAGUGAAAUAGAACCUGAAACCGUGUGCUUACAAGUAGUCAGAGCCCGUUAAUGGGUGAUGGCGUGCCUUUUGUAGAAUGAACCGGCGAGUUACGAUUUGAUGCAAGGUUAAGCAGUAAAUGUGGAGCCGUAGCGAAAGCGAGUCUGAAUAGGGCGUUUAGUAUUUGGUCGUAGACCCGAAACCAGGUGAUCUACCCUUGGUCAGGUUGAAGUUCAGGUAACACUGAAUGGAGGACCGAACCGACUUACGUUGAAAAGUGAGCGGAUGAACUGAGGGUAGCGGAGAAAUUCCAAUCGAACCUGGAGAUAGCUGGUUCUCUCCGAAAUAGCUUUAGGGCUAGCCUCAAGUGAUGAUUAUUGGAGGUAGAGCACUGUUUGGACGAGGGGCCCCUCUCGGGUUACCGAAUUCAGACAAACUCCGAAUGCCAAUUAAUUUAACUUGGGAGUCAGAACAUGGGUGAUAAGGUCCGUGUUCGAAAGGGAAACAGCCCAGACCACCAGCUAAGGUCCCAAAAUAUAUGUUAAGUGGAAAAGGAUGUGGCGUUGCCCAGACAACUAGGAUGUUGGCUUAGAAGCAGCCAUCAUUUAAAGAGUGCGUAAUAGCUCACUAGUCGAGUGACACUGCGCCGAAAAUGUACCGGGGCUAAACAUAUUACCGAAGCUGUGGAUUGUCCUUUGGACAAUGGUAGGAGAGCGUUCUAAGGGCGUUGAAGCAUGAUCGUAAGGACAUGUGGAGCGCUUAGAAGUGAGAAUGCCGGUGUGAGUAGCGAAAGACGGGUGAGAAUCCCGUCCACCGAUUGACUAAGGUUUCCAGAGGAAGGCUCGUCCGCUCUGGGUUAGUCGGGUCCUAAGCUGAGGCCGACAGGCGUAGGCGAUGGAUAACAGGUUGAUAUUCCUGUACCACCUAUAAUCGUUUUAAUCGAUGGGGGGACGCAGUAGGAUAGGCGAAGCGUGCGAUUGGAUUGCACGUCUAAGCAGUAAGGCUGAGUAUUAGGCAAAUCCGGUACUCGUUAAGGCUGAGCUGUGAUGGGGAGAAGACAUUGAGUCUUCGAGUCGUUGAUUUCACACUGCCGAGAAAAGCCUCUAGAUAGAAAAUAGGUGCCCGUACCGCAAACCGACACAGGUAGUCAAGAUGAGAAUUCUAAGGUGAGCGAGCGAACUCUCGUUAAGGAACUCGGCAAAAUGACCCCGUAACUUCGGGAGAAGGGGUGCUCUUUAGGGUUAACGCCCAGAAGAGCCGCAGUGAAUAGGCCCAAGCGACUGUUUAUCAAAAACACAGGUCUCUGCUAAACCGUAAGGUGAUGUAUAGGGGCUGACGCCUGCCCGGUGCUGGAAGGUUAAGAGGAGUGGUUAGCUUCUGCGAAGCUACGAAUCGAAGCCCCAGUAAACGGCGGCCGUAACUAUAACGGUCCUAAGGUAGCGAAAUUCCUUGUCGGGUAAGUUCCGACCCGCACGAAAGGCGUAACGAUUUGGGCACUGUCUCAACGAGAGACUCGGUGAAAUCAUAGUACCUGUGAAGAUGCAGGUUACCCGCGACAGGACGGAAAGACCCCGUGGAGCUUUACUGUAGCCUGAUAUUGAAAUUCGGCACAGCUUGUACAGGAUAGGUAGGAGCCUUUGAAACGUGAGCGCUAGCUUACGUGGAGGCGCUGGUGGGAUACUACCCUAGCUGUGUUGGCUUUCUAACCCGCACCACUUAUCGUGGUGGGAGACAGUGUCAAGCGGGCAGUUUGACUGGGGCGGUCGCCUCCUAAAAGGUAACGGAGGCGCUCAAAGGUUCCCUCAGAAUGGUUGGAAAUCAUUCAUAGAGUGUAAAGGCAUAAGGGAGCUUGACUGCGAGACCUACAAGUCGAGCAGGGUCGAAAGACGGACUUAGUGAUCCGGUGGUUCCGCAUGGAAGGGCCAUCGCUCAACGGAUAAAAGCUACCCCGGGGAUAACAGGCUUAUCUCCCCCAAGAGUUCACAUCGACGGGGAGGUUUGGCACCUCGAUGUCGGCUCAUCGCAUCCUGGGGCUGUAGUCGGUCCCAAGGGUUGGGCUGUUCGCCCAUUAAAGCGGUACGCGAGCUGGGUUCAGAACGUCGUGAGACAGUUCGGUCCCUAUCCGUCGUGGGCGUAGGAAAUUUGAGAGGAGCUGUCCUUAGUACGAGAGGACCGGGAUGGACAUACCUCUGGUGUACCAGUUGUCGUGCCAACGGCAUAGCUGGGUAGCUAUGUGUGGACGGGAUAAGUGCUGAAAGCAUCUAAGCAUGAAGCCCCCCUCAAGAUGAGAUUUCCCAACUUCGGUUAUAAGAUCCCUCAAAGAUGAUGAGGUUAAUAGGUUCGAGGUGGAAGCAUGGUGACAUGUGGAGCUGACGAAUACUAAUCGAUCGAAGACUUAAUCAA
This 2921-nucleotide ribosomal RNA is filed under the name Staphylococcus aureus DAR3870. Its description in RNAcentral is "bacterial LSU rRNA". It matches the Rfam family "Bacterial large subunit ribosomal RNA". Lineage: Bacteria; Bacillati; Bacillota; Bacilli; Caryophanales; Staphylococcaceae. The record is from RNAcentral.